This 83-nucleotide non-coding RNA is filed under the name bovine gut metagenome. RNAcentral describes it as "Glycine riboswitch". It matches the Rfam family "Glycine riboswitch aptamer", at positions 8 to 87 of the family's 94-position model. Rfam says of the family: This family represents the bacterial glycine riboswitch. Glycine riboswitches usually consist of two metabolite-binding aptamers domains with similar structures in tandem. The record is from RNAcentral.
GAACUCUGGAGAAUCUCCCCAUGGAGUGCCGAAGGUGCAAGGUCUGGCGACGGACUGAAUCUCUCAGGCAAAAGGAAAGAGUC